AUACGUAGGUGGCGAGCGUUGUCCGGAAUUACUGGGCGUAAAGGGCGCGUAGGCGGCCUGUCAAGUCAGAUGUGAAAUCCCCGGGCUUAACCCGGGAACUGCAUUUGAAACUGGCGGGCUUGAGGGCAGGAGAGGAAAGCGGAACUCCCAGUGUAGCGGUGAAAUGCGUAGAUAUUGGGAGGAACACCAGUGGCGAAGGCGGCUUUCUGGACUGUCACUGACGCUGAGGCGCGAAAGCCAGGGAGCGAACGGGAUUAGAUACCCCGGUAGUCCUGGCUGUAAACGAUGGGUACUAGGUGUUGGGGGUAUCGACCCCUCCAGUGCCGCAGUUAACGCAAUAAGUACCCCGCCUGGGGAGUACGUUCGCAAGAAUGAA
This 376-nucleotide ribosomal RNA is filed under the name uncultured bacterium. RNAcentral's name for it is "bacterial SSU rRNA". It matches the Rfam family "Bacterial small subunit ribosomal RNA", at positions 523 to 898 of the family's 1533-position model. The record is from RNAcentral.